Molecule: long non-coding RNA, 851 nt
Filed under: Chrysolophus pictus (golden pheasant)
Lineage: Eukaryota; Metazoa; Chordata; Aves; Galliformes; Phasianidae
Description: lncRNA (ENSCPIG00010002438.1)
Source: RNAcentral
CUGUUAUUAAACUUCUAAUGAAAUGAUUCAGGAGAGAUUGACAUAGGAACUGUUGGUCUUUAAAGCUCUUACUCUAUUUCAGAACGCAGUCAACAUCUUUAUUAACACAGUCUUGUGUUUGCUUUCAGGCAAAAUGAGAUGAACUGAGCACCUGUGCAAACCAGAGCAGUGAUUGCAACAGCAUGCAGUUAUACGAUGUGUACCUGGCACUGUACUGCACGGAUGUCGGGCUUAAAAUACCAACACCAAGGUCCUAAUUAAAACAUGCAUGUUGUUUGGCAACCAGUAGCUUUUGAAAUCAAGGAUUCACAGGAUCAGGCUUUUCUCUCAGAUCUCGUCUCCUCUGCAUUCCAAGUGUAUGUUCAAGGAACUGAUUGAUUCCUUUUUGAUGAGAUUUGGACAUUGAUUGAAAGUGCAGAAGAAGAGUAAUAUCACCUCGGGUUUACUUCUGAGGAAUGCAGUAAAUAGAUACUCCAUGCUUUAACCCCGAAGACUCCAACCAAAAAUUGAUGUGCAAAUCUAUGAAGAACAGCCUGGAAAAGAAUAGCACAGGGAACACAGGCCCAUCCAGAAGGCUAUAAUGCCUUGCUUUUUCCACCCUUGCUGCUGGUGCUGGUGAUACCCUCAGUAUGAAUUUCAGAUCAGCAGAUAUAAUUAAUGAUGGACUGAAAAUCAGCAUCUACAUAUCAAGACCCAGGAGCAAUUCACUGUGCAUCCAGUUUGCACCAAGCGAUGUUGAAAUAAUGCCUAAGGUACUAUAAAGUAGUCUGAAGGAGAAAUACAAAGCCUUGAAAUCAAGCACAUAAAUAGAGAUUAUUGUCAUUGAUGCUGUUUGAUAAGUUCAAAUUGAU